Molecule: ribosomal RNA, 494 nt
Filed under: uncultured bacterium
Lineage: Bacteria
Description: partial 16S ribosomal RNA
Rfam family: Bacterial small subunit ribosomal RNA
Source: RNAcentral
GACGAACGCUGGCGGCGUGCUUAACACAUGCAAGUCGAACGGUGAAGCGCCUUCCUUUUUGGUGGGUGUGGAUGAGUGGCUAACGGGUGAGUAACACGUGAGUAACCUGCCCCCUUCUUCUGGAUAACCGCAUGAAUGUGUGGCUAAUACUGGAUAUUCUGGGUCGGUCGCAUGAUGUUUUUGGGGAGGAUGUUGUUUCGGUGGUGGAUGGGCUCGCGGCCUGUCAGCUUGUUGGUGGGGUGAUGGCCUACCAAGGCGGUGACGGGUAGCCGGCCCGAGAGGGUGGGCGGUCACACUGGGAAUGAGACAGAGACGAGACUGAUACGGGAGGCAGCAGGGAGUGAGAUUGCACGCUGAGUGGGAGGAUGCUGGAGGCAGGCCGGGUGCGGGAUGGAGGACUGCGGGUGGGGAGCAACUCUCGUUAGUGAAGCAGGACUGCCUCGUUUGUGGGUGGGUUGACGGUAGCUGGAUAAGAAGCGCCGGCUAACUACGUG